GGACUACUGGGGUAUCUAAUCCUGUUUGCUCCCCACGCUUUCGCACCUCAGUGUCAGUCUGGUACCAGGCAGUCGCCUUCGCCACUGGUGUUCUUUCCGAUCUCUACGCAUUUCACCGCUACACCGGAAAUUCCACUGCCCUCUCACCGACUCCAGUCUGCCAGUUUCCAACGCCGUUCCCAGGUUAAGCCCGGGGAUUUCACAUCAGACUUUGCAAACCACCUACAUGCGCUUUACGCCCAGUAAUUCCGAUUAACGCUUGCACCCUCUGUAUUACCGCGGCUGCUGGCAC
This 292-nucleotide ribosomal RNA is filed under the name uncultured bacterium. Its description in RNAcentral is "partial 16S ribosomal RNA". The record is from RNAcentral.